GUUCUUGUUUUUAUAGUUAUAGUCACUGGAAUGCACUGGAUCUUUCCGAGAUCAAUCAUCAAUAGAGGAUUUUGUCCUUGGUUGGUAGGAGUUGGUUGAGAUCUUGAUCCCAUUGCUUAUGCCAGUACAAUAAGCUCGACCUAAACCUUAGACUGUGUUACCCCUUCAAUCAGCACGCAACCCAAUUGAUUAUUAUUCCUCAUAUCAUGAAUUUGUUCUAUGGACUAUUCUUACAACAUCACUAAUCAGGAAAAAUUGCGUCUUUCGUUUCUCUGAAAAAACUCUUUUUGAACACGAUGCGGUUCUUGGGUUAGAAGGCCUUGUCACGUUUUGCUGUUGCCCUACCAGUCUACCACUAGUGCAAUUGUUGUCGUCAACUAGUAUGCCUUCUACGUUUAGCAUGUAAGAGAGCUAACAAAAGUAUUUGUAUAGUUGACGCCUGUAUCUUGUAAUAUCCCUGUGAAGGUUUUUUAUUUUUCUUGAUCGGCAAAAGUAACAUAUCCCUGUGAAGGUUGAUAUGUUGCCAAGGACUUACCGUUCGUUUUAAAUUUACACAAAAAUGGAAUCACCAUGUAUAUAGCUUUAGUGUGGAAGUAGGGAAUUUGUCAAUCAUAUUUUCGAGAGAGGGAGGGAGGGAGCUGUUCGUUUAUAACUUACACAGAAAUGGAAUCACUAUGCAUAUAGCUUUAGUGUGGAAGUAGGGGAUUUGUCAUUUGUAUUUUGGAGAGAGAGAGAGAGAGAGAGAGAGAGAGAGAGAGAGAGAGAGAGAGAGAGAGACCAAAUGCGUACAUUCACUUGUUAUUUCAAAAUAAUUGAUGUGAUUCUCUCAACUACAAUAAGAGAGCUGAUUGAAGUCCAAACCAGGUGUUAUGCUAAGAGAUUCAAAAAAUUUAAGGAUCCAAAGACAAGACAAGUCAAGCGGAUCUGGUGAUUGAUUUUCAGUCUAAUAGGAUUAUAUUUCAGAAUUUUCUUUUCUGAGCAACCAAAUGGAGGACAUGAAAUGGGGGGCAAAUCUGGGAUUUUUUCUCAAGCAUUUUUUGGGGUAAGAUAGUUGUUAUUAAAAGAAUUACUUAGGCCAAGGGAAUAUCCUUGAGAAAACCAUACACGGGCUACGCCAAAAUAAUACCAAGGAAAUCUAACCCACUAUUUCACAGAGACUUGAAAACAAAUCUUAAAAACUAGGCCAGAGCUUUGGAACAGCUCUACUCCUCAAAUUGCUAGGAAAUCUUUAGGUAAAUCCCACUCUUUCUUCAGGUUUAUGUUUUCUGCUGUAUUGGUAACAUUUGUCCAGCCCUACAAGCCCUUGGUCUACUAUGUCGUUACCGACUUGACUGCUAGUGGGAAGGGAGGUGUGGGUGAAGGAAAUCGAGCUUCAGUGGCUGUGUCUAGCCCUGCAAGAUGCAUCUUCAGGGUAUGAUAAGGAGUUUGCUCGUAGUUUUGGGGGUUUAGUAAGGAGAGUGAAGGUAUGUCUUGUCUGCUCCUUGAAGGAGGUUUUUGGCUGAGGUGGAGGUGAGAGACAGUGGGAAGUUUUGGUAUGUGGUGCUGCUGGAGUUGUGCGGAUCAAGGAUGUGACAAAUAUUGGGGGUUGGCCGGACAACACGGUGGCGGUAAAGGAGAAGAGGAAGAUACAUAAGGGGUGUGAUGUAGAAGUUCUGGUGGAAUCUACAGAGAGUUCUAUGAGUUUCCUAGGGAGUUGUUUGGUGGGAAGGCUGGAGGAGGGGGUGACGAAUCUGCCAUCAGCCAUGGAAAUACAGAGGUGGGCUCAGAGAAAUUGGAAAGUGACAGCUGGGGUCCAAGCUUUAGAGUUGGGUGGAGCUUGUUUCCUGUUUACUCUGCCGUUGGUGGAGGAAGCACGAGUCUUGAGGGGUAGAUGGAGUUUUGGAGAUAGGAGAGUGGAAUUGGAAUGGUGGUCGCCAAUUGGGGUGUUGUGUGAAAAAGGGGGAGGUUGCAGCGAAGGUAUGGACUAUGGGUGAGGGUUUUAGGUUUCCCUUUACACCUUUGGAUUUUGAAGUGUUCAGAGAGAUUGGAGAUUUCUGUGGUGGAUGAAUGAGGGUGGAUGAUGAAACGAAGAAACGAACACAUUUCCGUUGGGCCAGAAUCGCGGUGACGGCUGCACCGGCAAAGAUCCCGGCGAGUGUGAAGGUGGCGAUGGGGGGUUGGCUGUUUGAACUACCUUUAUGGGUAGAGAAGGGGCCAAAAGUGGUAUUUCAACUUGUUUUAAGGUGGACAGGGGAGGGGAUGGAGGACGUGACUGGAUUACAUGUGGUGGUGAGGAGGGGAGAGGAAGGAGGGGGAUGACGCGUGGCGGUUACUGUCGUUAUACGAGUGGUGGGGAUACGGUUGGGGAGUCUUACGGGCCCAGGGUUUUUUCGAAUUUUGAAUCCUUGAAUAGGGGUGGUUCUGGGCCUUCAUAUGUGGGUCGGUUUCAUAAUAUGUUGGGCCAGUUUAAUGAGGGGAUGGGAAAGCAAAAACCAGCUCAUUACAACAUUAUUAACAGCAGUGGAUCAGAUGCAAAAUGGGCCUUUUUAUUUAAAAGGCCUGUUAAGUCCAGAUUGGUUGAGAUCAAAAGCAGAAAAUGGGCCAGAAUAGGAGACCCAGGUGGAGGGACAAGUUUUAAAGGGGUGUUUCUACCGGAGAUAAUAACAGGGUGGAAACAAUCGGUGAAGAUCGAAAUGGCCCAGUUGAAAUUCUGCGACGAAUAGACAAUGGAGGAAGGAACGAUGAUGGGGUCGCACAUCCUAGGUGAGCGUUGGAUUACAGUUAGGUAUGUAUGAUUCCUCACUGUUUAAAUCCUUCUCUUCCUCCUUUUUCGUUUUUGGAAGAAGGGGGCUCUGGUGUUUGUUUGAAGAAAUGCUCGUCUUUGGUUGAAUCUCCUUUGGGGAAUUCGGUGUCAGCUUCAAUAUUGAAUGAGGAUGAGAGGGUGGUGGAGGUUAGUUGUGGAGGUGAGGGUGUUCUUUCGGGCAGCGACAAGGGCAACAGUGGUCAGAUUUGGAGAUGGGAAAGGGGGUGGAUAUGGGUACGGUGGAUAGGGGCUGGUUGAGUGAGGUCGGGAAGGGGGAUGUGAGUUCAAGGGGGAUGGAACUAGUACCCAAUGCUGGGUUGGAUGAUGGGGAAUUGCUGGUUUGGGGAAAGGCAGAAUGAGGAUUUGUUUAAUCAUUUGGGGUGGAUGCAGGACGAAACAGAUGAUCGGUUGUUAGUGAGUAAUGAUGUGUUUAAUCCACUUGUUAGGGAGUAGGAGGGGAGAUGGAACGAUGCAGAUGUACUAACGAGUGGGAUGUCACAAGAAGUCUCUAAUGGGUUUUGAAGAGGAUUAAUGGAGUUAGCAAAUUUUUAGGUGUGUCUUUCGAUGGUUUUGAAGAAAGAACGACGCAGCCUUUCACGGAUAUUGAAGAAAGAUGGAGGAAGGGAGCAGUACCAGAAACGAAGAAAAGUGGGAGCAAAAAUAGAAAGGGGUGAGGGAGUUGAAGAGGUUACAGUGCUCAAUCUUUUCAUGAAGAUUAAAAUCCUAAGCUGGAAUGGGAGAGUUGUGGGAUGAGCUAUCGGCGGUGGCGUUUAGAUGGGAUGCUCCGGUGGUGGCGUUUAAUGCAGUUCGUUUCCCAUUUGAGAAAGUGGGACGUAACUCUAUUUCAAAUGAUAUGAGAAGAUUCACAGAUUUCAUAAAUGAGUUGGAGCUUGUGGACCCACUACUUGGUUUGGUUUGAUUUCACAGUUAUUUGUCGCGCACUGAUCUGUUCUUAUUCUCUGUAACUUGGGUUUUCAUUUUCUAAUGUGGCUCAAUUUUCUCUUCCAAGACCUAUUUUGGAUCACAGUCCUAUUUAGUUAGUAAGUGGGGGUAUUCGGCAAGGAAGAACUCCGUUUAGAUUCAAAUAUAUGUGGUUGUUGGUUGAGGGUUUCGUGGAAAUGGUGGGUGAGUGGUGGAGUAAUUAUUCAGUGAUGGGGAAGCCGAGUUUUGUUUUAGCAAGAAAGUUGAAAAUGUUGAAAGAAAAUUUGCGUAAAUGGAACUCCGAGGUCUCUGGGCAGUUGGAGGUUCAAAAAGCCAAGGUUAUUGAUGAAAUUUGCCGUUGGGAUGUAGAGGAACAAGUUCGGGCUCUUAGGGAGGAGGAGAAGGUCUUGAGGGAUAGUGCUAAAGAAGAAUUUGGAAAAAUUGCGAAAUUCGAAGAAAUUAGUUGGAGACAAAAGUCCGUGAACCUUUGGUUGAAAGAAGGGGACAGGAAUACUCGUUUCUUUGAUAGGAUGGCUAAUUUUAAUCGGAGGAAUAAUUUUAUUGGUAAAAUUAAAGUAG
Molecule: long non-coding RNA, 4282 nt
Organism: Rhododendron vialii
Lineage: Eukaryota; Viridiplantae; Streptophyta; Magnoliopsida; Ericales; Ericaceae
Exons: 2
Source: RefSeq, a predicted model, not a curated record